GACGAACGCUGGCGGCGUGCCUAAUACAUGCAAGUAGAACGCUGAAGGAGGAGCUUGCUUCUCUGGAUGAGUUGCGAACGGGUGAGUAACGCGUAGGUAACCUGCCUGGUAGCGGGGGAUAACUAUUGGAAACGAUAGCUAAUACCGCAUAAUAGUAGAUGUUGCAUGACAUUUGCUUAAAAGGUGCAAUUGCAUCACUACCAGAUGGACCUGCGUUGUAUUAGCUAGUUGGUGGGGUAACGGCUCACCAAGGCGACGAUACAUAGCCGACCUGAGAGGGUGAUCGGCCACACUGGGAAUGAGACACGGCCCAGACUCCUACGGGAGGCAGCAGUAGGGAAUCUUCGGCAAUGGACGGAAGUCUGACCGAGCAACGCCGCGUGAGUGAAGAAGGUUUUCGGAUCGUAAAGCUCUGUUGUAAGAGAAGAACGAGUGUGAGAGUGGAAAGUUCACACUGUGACGGUAGCUUACCAGAAAGGGACGGCUAACUACGUG
Molecule: ribosomal RNA, 495 nt
Filed under: uncultured bacterium
Lineage: Bacteria
Description: partial 16S ribosomal RNA
Rfam family: Bacterial small subunit ribosomal RNA
Source: RNAcentral